ACUGUAUUAAAAUAAUCCAUUCUAGAUGAAACAAAGGCAUGCAUUCGUCUCUCGGCAUCAGAUACAGAAAUAAUUGUACACUGUACAUUCAUGGGAGCACCUAAAAAAUAAGGGUCAAUUUCAAAUGGGUUCCCCAAUACAGAAGUUAACAGUUGACCAAAUCCCCUGUCAUGGUACCUUUUAACUUCCUGCCACACCCUGAGUGUAUUACCCAGAACAACACUUCCCCCAAUCAGUCCUCUCCAUUGUUUUUCUUUUACUGUCAGUAAGCACACUGCAUCAGAUUCUAUGGCCUGCCAAGCACAGUCCACAUUACAGGUAAGCCAUCCCUGGAUAUGUUUCAAAUGCAUGCCCCAGUUAUACAGUCUAAAAUUAGAAAUUGCUAACCCACUCAUUUUUAUAGGCAGUUGUAGUCUUCUAAACUGAUACCUGUUUUUUUUUUUUUCCCCCUGCCCAUAGAAAUGCUCUUAUUACUGGGCAACACAUUCAUUUUAAUUAUCCCUGCCCUUCCCAAAAAGGAAACGGGCAAACUGGUCCACCUUUCUUUGUCUUUUUUUACCUUUUGAUUAUAGGGGAAAUUAAACAACUGCCCCAAGCAUGGGGAUACCCGUAUUCCCAAACAUGUUAGUCCUCUUGGGGACCACCGAAAAGGCGCAGAAGGUAAAGGGUUUAUCAGCAUAACCACUGAUUUUAAAAAGAUUAAAUCACCUCUGUUAGUCUCCAUUAGCAACCAAUAUAUGCGAUUUAGUCAAAAAUAAUAUGAUGUCAUCAGCAUAUAGUGACAAGUGAUGCUGUCUUGUACCAGUCUGAACACUGUGAAUAUUGGGCUCACGUUUAAUAGCCUCUGCCUGUGGCUCAGUUACCCUUCUGGUCUGGGUUAAUCGCACUACGAGGAAUCCACCUUUGUGAGGACCUUCGCAUCUGUGUCUGUUAAAGAUAUAGGUCUUUAUGAUGUAGUGUCUCCUGGGUUCUUUUCCUUUUUCAGUAAUACUAUUAUGUUGGCUGAUCUCCGUGAAGGGGGAAGAGUGCGUUUUUGGAAUGCAUCAUUGAACAUAUAAUGCUGAGCGUGCUUCCUGUGUAAACAGGGCAUCUAAUGAUGCUGGUGUAGCAGUUAGUUUCCUGGCAAUGCUUUUACUGGGAGAUGCUAUCAUUUUUCUUUCCAUGUGCCCAAUUAUUAUCUGUAUCCUUGGCUCACCGCUCGC
Long non-coding RNA from Polyodon spathula (Mississippi paddlefish), 1202 nucleotides. RefSeq lists it as uncharacterized. The transcript has 3 exons. The record is from RefSeq and is a predicted model, not a curated record. Lineage: Eukaryota; Metazoa; Chordata; Actinopteri; Acipenseriformes; Polyodontidae.